CCUACGGGAGGCAGCAGUGGGGAAUAUUGGACAAUGGGCGAAAGCCUGAUCCAGCCAUGCCGCGUGUGUGAAGAAGGCCUUCGGGUUGUAAAGCACUUUCAGUGGGGAAGAAAGCCUUGGGGCUAAUACCCUCGAGGAAGGACAUCACCCACAGAAGAAGCACCGGCUAACUCCGUGCCAGCAGCCGCGGUAAUACGGGGGGUGCGAGCGUUAAUCGGAAUUACUGGGCGUAAAGCGCGCGUAGGCGGUCUGAUAAGCCGGUUGUGAAAGCCCCGGGCUCAACCUGGGAACGGCAUCCGGAACUGUCAGGCUAGAGUGCAGGAGAGGAAGGUAGAAUUCCCGGUGUAGCGGUGAAAUGCGUAGAGAUCGGGAGGAAUACCAGUGGCGAAGGCGGCCUUCUGGACUGACACUGACGCUGAGGUGCGAAAGCGUGGGUAGCAAACAGGAUUAGAUACCCGUGUAGUC
Molecule: ribosomal RNA, 465 nt
Filed under: Vreelandella stevensii
Lineage: Bacteria; Pseudomonadati; Pseudomonadota; Gammaproteobacteria; Oceanospirillales; Halomonadaceae
Description: partial 16S ribosomal RNA
Rfam family: Bacterial small subunit ribosomal RNA
Source: RNAcentral